UAACGAAUAUUCCGCAAUGGGCGAAAGCCUGACGGAGCGACGCCGCGUGGAGGACGAAUUCCUUCGGGAUGUAAACUCCUUUUAGGGUUGGGAAAGUUCCAGGUGCUAACACCAUCUGGAGUUGAUCUAGCCCAGAAAAAGCAUCGGCUAACCCCGUGCCAGCAGCCGCGGUAAUACGGGGGAUGCAAGCGUUGUUCGGAAUCACUGGGCUUAAAGCGCGUGUAGGCGGCUCGGUUAGUACCUUGUGAAAUCCCUCCUCUCAAUGGAGGAAUGGCUGGGUAUACUGCCGGGCUCGAGGGAGGUAGGGGUGCCUGGAACUCUAGGUGGAGCGGUGAAAUGCGUAGAUAUCUAGAGGAACGCCCGUGGCGAAAGCGGGGCACUGGGCCUCUCCUGACGCUGAAACGCGAAAGCGUGGGUAGCAAACGGGAUUAGAUACCCCCGUAGUCC
Molecule: ribosomal RNA, 447 nt
Filed under: uncultured bacterium
Lineage: Bacteria
Description: bacterial SSU rRNA
Rfam family: Bacterial small subunit ribosomal RNA
Source: RNAcentral